RNAcentral lists this ribosomal RNA (510 nucleotides) under uncultured bacterium. RNAcentral's name for it is "partial 16S ribosomal RNA". It matches the Rfam family "Bacterial small subunit ribosomal RNA", at positions 28 to 507 of the family's 1533-position model. The record is from RNAcentral.
GACGAACGCUGGCGGCGUGCUUAACACAUGCAAGUCGAACGAAGAGCGAUGGAAGCUUGCUUCUAUCAAUCUUAGUGGCGAACGGGUGAGUAACGCGUAAUCAACCUGCCCUUCAGAGGGGGACAACAGUUGGAAACGACUGCUAAUACCGCAUACGAUCUAAUCUCGGCAUCGAGGAUGGAUGAAAGGUGGCCUCUACAUGUAAGCUAUCACUGAAGGAGGGGAUUGCGUCUGCUUAGCUAGUUGGGGGGGUAACGGCCCACCAAGGCGAUGAUCAGUAGCCGGUCUGAGAGGAUGAACGGCCACAUUGGGACUGAGACACGGCCCAGACUCCUACGGGAGGCAGCAGUGGGGAAUCUUCCGCAAUGGACGAAAGUCUGACGGAGCAACGCCGCGUGAGUGAUGACGGCCUUCGGGUUGGAAAGCUCUGUUAAUCGGGACGAAAGGCCUUCUUGUGAAUAGUGAGAAGGAUUGACGGUACCGGAAUAGAAAGCCACGGCUAACUACGUG